This 118-nucleotide ribosomal RNA is filed under the name Neotoma lepida (desert woodrat). The record is from RNAcentral. Lineage: Eukaryota; Metazoa; Chordata; Mammalia; Rodentia; Cricetidae.
GCCUAUGGCCANACCACCUUGAAUGCUCCAUUCUCAUCUUAUCUCGGAAGCUAAGAAGGCACCAGCCUCGUUAGUACUUGGAUGGGAAACCACCUGGGAAUGAUGGGUGCUGUAGGCU